AAUAGUCCAUAAACAUCUGCUUAGAGAAAAAUCCUCAAAUUAAUGAAUAUAAUUUUUCAAACGCUCAUGUGGAGCAUCAACUAUACGAGUCUGUGAAUGAGCUAUAGAAACCGUAAUGUAUUAGAACGAGCUCAUGUACACUAAUUAAUCAACAUUUUCUGAUCGAUAAUCAUUUGCAUCAUAGUGUGUCGUGAGAAAGGCGUAUGAACAUGUAUUACACUCGGAGGAACACGCUAAUUGUUUGCUGAUCAGCAGAAGUGACUAUGGCUUUAACUGACGUCUAUAAAUCCCUGUAAAAGCCCACGGGCAUGUUUUAUCGGCGUUAUCACUAAGAUCCAUUUCUGUGUGAUGCGUCCAAGUCCUCGGGGCCGCCGGCGAAAAGAAUUCAAUCGAAUCGGCCGUCGCGUGAUAAGAAUACGACAGCAGGAAGAGUCAGGAACCUUCUGAACCCUGUGUGGCAGCAAGACAGCGAUCGGUUCGCGCAGAUCGUCAAGUACGGCUCUCCUCUCAUCCCUCGCUUUUUUUCUACGUGAAUUCGUUAAUGUGCAGGUUUACGGCGCGGGAUAAUGCGUCUGCCUGAGAAAAAAACCCUAUUGCGACUCGACAAUCGCUUCAUAAAGGACGUAUUUUUAAACAUCGAUUCUCUAUUGACGUGAAAAUGAGCACGCUCGCUCUCCUAACCCGAAACCGAGCUGACAAUCUGUAAAUGUUUCUUUCUGUCUUUUUUUUCCCCCCUUUUUUCCUUCAGACGCUCUUAAGAGCCUCGGCAAUUUAGAGAGCAAAACAAACUUUAUUUAGCUUCAUUAUGGCGAGACCGGAGCGCGAAACGCAAACAGUGGAAUCAUUCAUGCGCAAAAUCAAUGCACUGCAUCUUUCCAACGAGGAGCGCUGAUGUAGCUUCGCCUGCGGGUGGGGAGCUGCGGUCCCAUGAGUCUCUGCACCGAACAUUAUAUUACAACUGACAGGAAAGUAAUUUAAUUGUGCCGUUGCUAUGGCGACACAGGGCUCUGUUUGGGCUUAAUUUACUGCCAACUGCAUUCCGAGAGACUUCACGCAUCAUUCCUGACCAAAUUUCCCUCUCUGAAGAGAAAAAAAAAAAAGCAGGUGAUGAGGUUCAACAGGAAAUCAAACUCUCUCAUUAGGAAGGGCCGAGACGGCGUGGAGUCAGUUGAAGGAGGAAGCAGGACGGUGGGCAGAUUGGUGCCAUUAUGAACAUCUCCUUUCAUCUUCUCUGUGAUAGAUCGGGAGAGGGGGGAAAAAAAAACAUUACGGCUCGUUCAGACGCCGCAGAAGAUCAAGUGCGCUAAAAAAGACGAGGGAUCCAAGGAAGCCUUUCUGUGCAUGAGGCUCUCUAAUAACAAUUUACCCCGCCUGAGAAAAUCGACUCGGUUACUUAUCACGGCUCAGCGCGUUACGGCACCAAAAAGGAAAACAGCAGCACAUGAUACUAAAGGAGCACCUGGUGAUUGAUCAAUGAUCCUCGGCCGCCCACGACCCUGUCGCCGGUUCACCACUGUUCCUUUCUUGGAGCACUUUUGAUAGACACUGACCACUGCAGACCAGGAACAUCCCACAAGAGCUGCAGUUCUGGAGACCUCUGACCCAGUCGUCUAAACGUAAUUCUCUCAAACUUGCUAAAAUCCUUACGCUCACCCAUUUUUCCUUCUUCUAACACAUUCACUUUGAGGACAAAAUGUUUACUUGCUGCAUAAUAAAUAUAUCCACCCACUAACAGGUACCAUAUCUACUGGUGCAGACGCCUUGUUCUGAUUGGUUAGAUGUUGCUGGUUCACACCAUUCGUUUCCUUCCAUGUACAAUACACACACUGUUAUUUCAGUUAUGUUGUACAUAUUUGAUUAAUAACAGGACUCACCAGAUCUUUGUCCUUAAAA
Silurus meridionalis is the source of this 1893-nucleotide long non-coding RNA. RefSeq lists it as uncharacterized. NCBI's taxonomy places the organism in Eukaryota, Metazoa, Chordata, Actinopteri, Siluriformes, Siluridae. The transcript is spliced from 3 exons. The record is from RefSeq and is a predicted model, not a curated record.